GAUAAACGCUGGCGGCGCACAUAAGACAUGCAAGUCGAACGGACUUAACCAUUAGUUUACUAUUGGAGCGGUUAGUGGCGGACUGGUGAGUAACACGUAAGCAACCCGCCUAUCAGAGGGGAACAACAGUUAGAAAUGACUGCUAAUACCGCAUAUGCCUUAGUAACACAUGUUACAAAAGGGAAAGGAGCAAUCCGCUGAUAGAUGGGCAUGCGUCUGAUUAGAUAGUUGGUGAGGUAACGGCUCACCAAGGCGACGAUCAGUAGCUGGUCUGAGAGGACGAUCAGCCACACUGGGACUGAGACACGGCCCAG
Molecule: ribosomal RNA, 314 nt
Filed under: uncultured bacterium
Lineage: Bacteria
Description: bacterial SSU rRNA
Rfam family: Bacterial small subunit ribosomal RNA
Source: RNAcentral